This 167-nucleotide ribosomal RNA is filed under the name bacterium. RNAcentral describes it as "partial 16S ribosomal RNA". The record is from RNAcentral.
CCUACGGGAGGCAGCCGUAGGGAAUUUUUGGCAAUGGCAGGAAGUGAGACCGAGCAACACCGCGUGAGCGAAGAAGGGCUUCGGGUUGUAAAGGUGGAAGGUAAGGGAGGAAAAGAAUUGAGUGUGAAAGGUCACACAUGACGUANUCCNNGNNANCNCCCAUCUCC